RNAcentral lists this ribosomal RNA (253 nucleotides) under uncultured bacterium. RNAcentral describes it as "partial 16S ribosomal RNA". It matches the Rfam family "Bacterial small subunit ribosomal RNA", at positions 524 to 776 of the family's 1533-position model. The record is from RNAcentral.
UACAGAGGUCUCAAGCGUUGUUCGGAUUCAUUGGGCGUAAAGGGCGCGUAGGCGGCGGGGUAAGUCGGGUGUGAAAUCUCAGGGCUCAACCCUGAAACUGCACUCGAUACUGCUCUGCUUGAGGACUGGAGAGGAGACUGGAAUUCACGGUGUAGCAGUGAAAUGCGUAGAUAUCGUGAGGAAGACCCAUGGCGAAAGCAUGUCUCUGGAAACUACCUGACGCUGAUGCUCGAAGGCCAGGGGAGCAAACGGG